GGUAGGAUGGCUGAGUUAAGCGGUGGAUUGUAGCUCCACAUACAGAGGUUAGAGCCCUCUUCUUAUCA
This 68-nucleotide transfer RNA is filed under the name Brachyistius frenatus (kelp perch). RNAcentral describes it as "tRNA-Tyr". It matches the Rfam family "tRNA". From Rfam's summary of the family: Transfer RNA (tRNA) molecules are approximately 80 nucleotides in length. Their secondary structure includes four short double-helical elements and three loops (D, anti-codon, and T loops). Lineage: Eukaryota; Metazoa; Chordata; Actinopteri; Embiotocidae. The record is from RNAcentral.